AUCUCGUAACGUACCAUGUUAUUCACCCAUAUUUUUAAUUUGAGUAACUAAAGUAACUAACCUCCAAAACUCAAACAAUGAGACGAUCCAGAGGUAACGACGCGCGAAUACGCGCGAAAUUUGAAUAAUAAAUUCAGUAUCUGCCAGGUCCAAAUGCGUAUUAGAGGAAACAGGGAAAAAGCACAGGCUUUUGUCCACGCUGUCCGGCGCCAUUGCGGCGGACAAACGUUUAUUUCCGGCCGAGCUUUGAAAAUCAGUAAACUGUGCUUUUUAUCGGGGGCAUGUGAGCGUUCGAGCAGGGAUCAAACGUAUCGACCGCAAUUCUGCGGUUCUCGUACGAGAUCUCGCGUAAGUGGUGGGGCGGACGAACGCGACUAUGCAGAUCACGGAUCUAAUUACCAGAUACGAGCAUCGAGGUCCACGAAAAUUGGUCAUCCGUGAGGCGUCCAAUUUAUUUUGUGGCCGCAUUUCACGCCGUUCCUUCGGUGGAUGGAUGAUGAUUUUAUUGUUUAAAGCGAAAAGAUAGAUUGAGAAAACUGUGAAAAAAUUUUUUCGUUAAUUUAUCUUCUUUGAUAUAAUUUUGUUAGACAUGUUUGUCAUAUAUUCGAUAAUCAAUAUAAUUUGUUUAUCAAAGUUAAUUAUUAAAAUUAAUGGAAAGAGAAAUUUUAUAAGAAGAUUUAUUAAUUGCUCUAUUAAGUUUGAGCAUGAUACAUUAAUAGUGAAUGUUAUAUGUAUAGUUUCUUGUAAAAAAUUUUUAGAGAAUUUGCAUAAGAAUCAUAAUUUUUCGCUUAUGGAAUAUAGAAUACACAUUUUAUAAUAUAUGUGCGAAGAAGAGAAGUAGUGGCAAAAAUGAUGACAAGGGAUUUCGUUACGACUUGUGACACACGAACUGAUGAUUAUCGCGAAGUUUAUAUCCAAGUUGGAUCAGAUAAUGUUACAGGAAGCUGUAAUCUUCGCCAAUCGUUUUCAGAGAAGUUAAAUAAUAAUAAAUUUAUAUCGAUAUUAAUUUUUUUAGAUAAUAAUAAGAGAAUUUGAGAAAUUCGAGAUAUUAUGGUCCGAUAUCGAGACUGGCCAACGCCAAUCAUUAACAAGAUUUGGAAGGUUAUGUUGUACAGAAUUUCGUAGCUGGAUCUGAAGAUGCUUUUGUCAAAGCCCAGCUCAAAAGAGAAUGCUCUCACUUUGUGGUCUGCAAAUGGCUACGAAAUUUGUGCUCCCCAAAGUACCUCCCCUGGACAUAUGUCCAAUUUAUAUAACAAAAGACUUGGACAACGUUUUGUUAUACACUUUUAACGGAUUUGCACAUCGUUUGACAAAUAUUUUUUUUCUAUAAAAAAGUUCAGAAUUUAGUUGGAUUUUAAUAAAAAUAUAAGAGAAACGUAAAAAUCGUAUAUUAAUGAAUUUUAAAUUAAUAAAAUGACAAUAAUAUAUUGGAAAAUCUUCUAGUUAAAUUCGAAGAGAAAAAAUUUUAUAUGGAUAAAUAUUGAUAACGAAUGAGAACAUAAAAAGAAGCAAAUGGAAAUAAAUAAAUCCAAAAAAAAAAAAAAAAUACAGAUUUUUGACAGGACAGAAAUAAAAAUUAAAAAUUUCCAAUUAUACAAUUUUCCCUUUGAAAACUCGCAAAUGGGAAAUAUCAAAUUUUUUCACAUACGAAUAAAUGGAAUAAAUGAUGACCACUAAAUACAUCGAAUUCGAAUGAACAGAAAAUUCGAAAUUAAAUAAAGUCGAGAUAUUUUUAACAUCGUUUUAAAAUUUUAGAAAUUUCGAUGAGGAGAUCGAUGAAAAUUUCAAUUAAUAAUAUCAAGUUUUUUAAGAAUGUGUCUUCAAAGGUAGGCUUCCUCGAAUUUCGAAUCGUUAAAAAGAAAGUUUGGCGAGGAGCAGAAAGAAAGUUUAUCGGGUGGAUUCGAAACGGUUGUGCGUGGAUAACAGGCUUGGAGGCAGGAAGUCGAUAAACGAGCGACAUCUAGCGCGUUGCUACGCUCGAUAUUUUCUCUCCCAGCCAGAAAAAUGUCGGACCCGAUACGAGGGAUCGUUUCUCCGUGAGAUCGUACGAUGAUUCCUUCCGACACCCGAGGAAAUAUCCCUUCUUUCUUUCUCUCUAAUAUCACUCGAAACGAUGAAUUUUGUAUCGAAUUGGAUAGAAAUGUAAUAUCGUAGAACUGAUUAUUGAACUGUUUCACAUUUUUCUUACAAGAAAAAUGGGAAGAAAAAUGUUUUAUUAGACAAUAUGUAUAAUAAUCAAGUUGGAUAAAAAUAUAAUGUCGUAGAGCUUGAUUAUUAAAUUAUUUCACAGUUUUCCUA
Molecule: long non-coding RNA, 2298 nt
Filed under: Apis mellifera (honey bee)
Lineage: Eukaryota; Metazoa; Arthropoda; Insecta; Hymenoptera; Apidae
Description: uncharacterized LOC102654329
Source: RNAcentral